CCUGACUGCUAUCGGAUUGAUACUAAGCCAUGCGAGUCAUUGUAGCAAUACAAGGCAGACGGCUCAGUAACGCGUAGUCAACCUACCCUAUGGACGGGAAUAACCUCGGGAAACUGAGAAUAAUGCCCGAUAGAACAUUAUGCCUGGAAUGGUUUAUGUUCCAAAUGAUUUAUCGCCAUAGGAUGGGACUGCGGCCUAUCAGUUUGUUGGUGAGGUAAUGGCCCACCAAGACUAUUACAGGUACGGGCUCUGAGAGGAGUGGCCCGGAGAUGGGUACUGAGACACGGACCCAGGCCCUAUGGGGCGCAGCAGGCGAGAAAACUUUGCAAUGUGCGAAAGCACGACAAGGUUAAUCCGAGUGGUUUCUGCUAAAGGAACCUUUUGUCGGUCCUAAAAACACCGAUGAAUAAGGGGUGGGCAAGUUCUGGUGUCAGCCGCCGCGGUAAAACCAGCACCUCAAGUUGUCAGGAUGAUUAUUGGGCCUAAAGCAUCCGUAGCCGGCUCUGUUAGUUUUCGGUUAAAUCUGUACGCUCAACGUACAGGCUGCCGGGAAUACUGCAGAGCUAGGGAGUGGGAGAGGUAGACGGUACUCGGUAGGAAGGGGUAAAAUCCUUUGAUCUAUUGAUGACCACCUGUGGCGAAGGCGGUCUACCAGAACACGUCCGACGGUGAGGGAUGAAAGCUGGGGGAGCAAACCGGAUUAGAUACCCGGGUAGUCCCAGCUGUAAACUAUGCAAACUCAGUGAUGCAUUGGCUUGAUGCCAAUGCAGUGCUGCAGGGAAGCCGUUAAGUUUGCCGCCUGGGAAGUACGUACGCAAGUAUGAAACUUAAAGGAAUUGGCGGGGGAGCACCACAAGGGGUGAAGCCUGCGGUUC
RNAcentral lists this ribosomal RNA (875 nucleotides) under uncultured marine group I thaumarchaeote. RNAcentral's name for it is "bacterial SSU rRNA". It matches the Rfam family "Archaeal small subunit ribosomal RNA", at positions 21 to 903 of the family's 1478-position model. Lineage: Archaea; Thermoproteati; Nitrososphaerota. The record is from RNAcentral.